AGUGAACGCUGGCGGUAGGCCUAACACAUGCAAGUCGAACGGCAGCACAGUAAGAGCUUGCUCUUACGGGUGGCGAGUGGCGGACGGGUGAGGAAUACCUCGGAAUCUACUUUUUCGUGGGGGAUAACGUAGGGACACUUACGCUAAUACCGCAUACGACCUACGGGUGAAAGCAGGGGAUCUUCGGACCUUGCGCGAUUGAAUGAGCCGAUGUCGGAUUAGCUAGUUGGCGGGGUAAAGGCCCACCAAGGCGACGAUCCGUAGCUGGUCUGAGAGGAUGAUCAGCCACACUGGAACUGAGACACGGUCCAGACUCCUACGGGAGGCAGCAGUGGGGAAUAUUGGACAAUGGGCGCAAGCCUGAUCCAGCCAUACCGCGUGGGUGAAGAAGGCCUUCGGGUUGUAAAGCCCUUUUGUUGGGAAAGAAAAGCAGCAGGUUAAUACCCCGCUGUUCUGACGUUACCCAAAGAAUAAGCACCGGCUAACUUCGUG
This 492-nucleotide ribosomal RNA is filed under the name uncultured bacterium. Its description in RNAcentral is "partial 16S ribosomal RNA". It matches the Rfam family "Bacterial small subunit ribosomal RNA", at positions 29 to 507 of the family's 1533-position model. The record is from RNAcentral.